UCAGCCGCCGCGGUAAUACAGAGGUCCCGAGCGUUGUUCGGAUUCACUGGGCGUAAAGGGUGCGUAGGUGGUGGAGUAAGUCGGAUGUGAAAUCUCGGAGCUCAACUCCGAAAAUGCAUUGGAAACUACUCUGCUUGAGGGUCGGAGGGGGGACUGGAAUUCUCGGUGUAGCAGUGAAAUGCGUAGAUAUCGAGAGGAACACCAGUGGCGAAGGCGAGUCCCUGGACGACACCUGACACUGAGGCACGAAAGCUAGGGGAGCAAACAGGAUUAGAUACCCUGGUAGUCCUAGCCGUAAACGGUGCAUGCUUGCUGUAAAAGGAAUCGACCCCUUUUGUGGCGGAGCCAACGCGUUAAGCAUGCCGCCUGGGAAGUACGGUCGCAAGAUUAAAACUUAAAGGAAUUGGCGGGGGAC
RNAcentral lists this ribosomal RNA (415 nucleotides) under uncultured bacterium. Its description in RNAcentral is "bacterial SSU rRNA". It matches the Rfam family "Bacterial small subunit ribosomal RNA", at positions 508 to 921 of the family's 1533-position model. The record is from RNAcentral.